This 271-nucleotide unclassified non-coding RNA is filed under the name uncultured fungus. Its description in RNAcentral is "partial contains small subunit ribosomal RNA, internal transcribed spacer 1, and 5.8S ribosomal RNA". The stretch from base 1 to 73 matches the Rfam family "Eukaryotic small subunit ribosomal RNA", at positions 1759 to 1831 of the family's 1831-position model. The record is from RNAcentral. Lineage: Eukaryota; Fungi.
GCAAACUUGGUCAUUUAGAGGAAGUAAAAGUCGUAACAAGGUCUCCGUUGGUGAACCAGCGGAGGGAUCAUUACCGAGUUUACAACUCCCAAACCCCUGUGAACAUACCACUUGUUGCCUCGGCGGAUCACCGCGCCCCGUGAAACGGGCCGGCCCGCCAGAGGACCCAAACUCAAAUGUCUUAUUGUAUCUUCUGAGUUAAAAAAAAAACAAAUAAAUCAAAACUUUCAACAACGGAUCUCUUGGUUCUGGCAUCGAUGAAGAACGCAGC